RNAcentral lists this ribosomal RNA (479 nucleotides) under uncultured bacterium. Its description in RNAcentral is "bacterial SSU rRNA". It matches the Rfam family "Bacterial small subunit ribosomal RNA", at positions 28 to 507 of the family's 1533-position model. The record is from RNAcentral. RNAcentral also lists the same sequence under 1 other name.
GAUGAACGCUGGCGGCGUGCCUAACACAUGCAAGUCGUACGGUCCCGGAGGCAGAAAGUAACAUUUCAGCCUUUGGGAUAGUGGCGGACGGGUGAGUAACGCGUGGGCAACCUGCCUUUCACUGGGGGAUAACACAGGGAAACCUGUGCUAAUACCGCAUGACAUAUCGACGGGGCAUCCUGUUGAUAUCAAAGGAGCAAUCCGGUGGAAGAUGGGCCCGCGUCCAAUUAGCUAGUUGGUGGUGUAACGGACCACCAAGGCGACGAUUGGUAGCCGAACUGAGAGGUUGAUCGGCCACAUUGGGACUGAGACACGGCCCAGACUCCUACGGGAGGCAGCAGUGGGGAAUAUUGCGCAAUGGGGGAAACCCUGACGCAGCAACGCCGCGUGAAGGAAGAAGGUCUUCGGAUUGUAAACUUCUUUGAUGAGGGACGAAGGAAGUGACGGUACCUCAGGAACAAGCCACGGCUAACUACGUG